This 561-nucleotide ribosomal RNA is filed under the name uncultured eukaryote. RNAcentral's name for it is "bacterial SSU rRNA". It matches the Rfam family "Eukaryotic small subunit ribosomal RNA", at positions 52 to 549 of the family's 1831-position model. The record is from RNAcentral.
UGCUGUCAAGUAAACUCACUUAUACGAGAAGACUGCGAAUAUCUCCUUAAAUCAGCAAUCGUUUAUUUGAUCGUAACUCGGGAAUUAUCUUGGUUUAAUUGGAUAACUGCGUUAAUUCUGGAGCUAAUACAUGCUAAAAAGGCGUGUGCACGCAAGUGUGCGCGUCUGUAUUUAUUAGAUUUACAAAACCAACAAGUCAGCUGGGCAUUCCAAACAGCAGCAAUGCUGGUCCAGUUGGCGCUACAAACAUGAUUGGUGAUUCACAAUAACUUUUUCGGAUCGCGGGCGCAGCGAUGCGCGGCGACGUUUCAUUCAAAUUUCUGAUUUAUCAUCUUGUUGUCAGGAUAGAGACCUGACAAGGAAGCGACGAAUACGGGGAAUUAGAGUUUGGUUCCGGAGAAUCCGCCUGAGAAACGGCGAAUACAUCCAAGGAUGGCAGCAGGUGCGCAAAUUGCCCAAUCCAAAAUAUGGGAGGCAGUGACAAUAUAUAACAAUGCAGAAUCUGUUAAAGGUUUUGCAAUUGUAAUGAGUACAAACUAAAUCCAUUAACGAGUAGCGAGU